CUGGAACCUCUCGGGGUUACAGCCUUGCUGAAUUAUUCACCCUUGUCUUUUGCGUACUUCUUGUUUCCUUGGUGGGUUCGCCCACCACUAGGACAAACAUAAACCUUUUGUAAUUGCAAUCAGCGUCAGUAACAAAUUAAUAAUUACAACUUUCAACAACGGAUCUCUUGGUUCUGGCAUCGAUGAAGAACGCAGCGAAAUGCGAUAAGUAGUGUGAAUUGCAGAAUUCAGUGAAUCAUCGAAUCUUUGAACGCACAUUGCGCCCUUUGGUAUUCCAAAGGGCAUGCCUGUUCGAGCGUCAUUUGUACCCUCAAGCUUUGCUUGGUGUUGGGCGUCUUGUCUCUAGCUUUGCUGGAGACUCGCCUUAAAGUAAUUGGCAGCCGGCCUACUGGUUUCGGAGCGCAGCACAAGUCGCACUCUCUAUCAGCAAAGGUCUAGCAUCCAUUAAGCCUUUUUUUUCAACUUUUGACCUCGGAUCAGGUAGGGAUACCCGCUGAACUUAAGCAUAUCAAUAAGCGGAGGAAA
This 525-nucleotide ribosomal RNA is filed under the name Alternaria sp. 58-1. RNAcentral describes it as "eukaryotic LSU rRNA". The stretch from base 148 to 301 matches the Rfam family "5.8S ribosomal RNA". The record is from RNAcentral. Lineage: Eukaryota; Fungi; Ascomycota; Dothideomycetes; Pleosporales; Pleosporaceae.